GAUCUGGUGUAAUUGGUAGCACGGAGAAGUUUGAAUUCUCAGGUUAGGUUCAAGUCCUAAGGUUCUAG
This 68-nucleotide transfer RNA is filed under the name Dipodomys merriami (Merriam's kangaroo rat). Its description in RNAcentral is "tRNA-Gln". It matches the Rfam family "tRNA". From Rfam's summary of the family: Transfer RNA (tRNA) molecules are approximately 80 nucleotides in length. Their secondary structure includes four short double-helical elements and three loops (D, anti-codon, and T loops). Lineage: Eukaryota; Metazoa; Chordata; Mammalia; Rodentia; Heteromyidae. The record is from RNAcentral.